CUACGGGCGGCUGCAGUGGGGAAUAUUGCACAAUGGGCGAAAGCCUGAUGCAGCAACGCCGCGUGAGGGACGACGGCCUUCGGGUUGUAAACCUCUUUUAGCAGGGAAGAAGCGAAAGUGACGGUACCUGCAGAAAAAGCACCGGCUAACUACGUGCCAGCAGCCGCGGUAAUACGUAGGGUGCAAGCGUUGUCCGGAAUUAUUGGGCGUAAAGAGCUCGUAGGCGGUUUGUCGCGUCUGCUGUGAAAAUCCGAGGCUCAACCUCGGACCUGCAGUGGGUACGGGCAAACUAGAGUGCGGUAGGGGAGAUUGGAAUUCCUGGUGUAGCGGUGGAAUGCGCAGAUAUCAGGAGGAACACCAAUGGCGAAGGCAGAUCUCUGGGCCGUAACUGACGCUGAGGAGCGAAAGCGUGGGGAGCGAACAGGAUUAGAUACCCCCGUAGUC
This 444-nucleotide ribosomal RNA is filed under the name uncultured bacterium. RNAcentral's name for it is "partial 16S ribosomal RNA". It matches the Rfam family "Bacterial small subunit ribosomal RNA", at positions 339 to 795 of the family's 1533-position model. The record is from RNAcentral.